This 468-nucleotide ribosomal RNA is filed under the name uncultured bacterium. RNAcentral describes it as "partial 16S ribosomal RNA". It matches the Rfam family "Bacterial small subunit ribosomal RNA", at positions 28 to 507 of the family's 1533-position model. The record is from RNAcentral.
GACGAACGCUGGCGGCGUGCUUAACACAUGCAAGUCGAACGGAAAGGCCCAGCUUUUGUGGGGUGCUCGAGUGGCGAACGGGUGAGUAACACGUGAGUAACCUGCCCUUGACUUUGGGAUAACUUCAGGAAACUGGGGCUAAUACCGGAUAGGAGCUCCUGCUGCAUGGUGGGGGUUGGAAAGUUUCGGCGGUUGGGGAUGGACUCGCGGCUUAUCAGCUUGUUGGUGGGGUAGUGGCUUACCAAGGCUUUGACGGGUAGCCGGCCUGAGAGGGUGACCGGCCACAUUGGGACUGAGAUACAGCCCAGACUCCUACGGGAGGCAGCAGUGGGGAAUAUUGCACAAUGGGCGGAAGCCUGAUGCAGCAACGCCGCGUGCGGGAUGACGGCCUUCGGGUUGUAAACCGCUUUCGCCUGUGACGAAGCGUGAGUGACGGUAAUGGGUAAAGAAGCACCGGCUAACUACGUG